This 253-nucleotide ribosomal RNA is filed under the name uncultured bacterium. RNAcentral's name for it is "partial 16S ribosomal RNA". It matches the Rfam family "Bacterial small subunit ribosomal RNA", at positions 524 to 776 of the family's 1533-position model. The record is from RNAcentral.
UACGGAGGGGGCUAGCGUUGUUCGGAAUUACUGGGCGUAAAGCGCACGUAGGCGGCUUUGUAAGUUAGAGGUGAAAGCCCGGGGCUCAACUCCGGAACUGCCUUUAAGACUGCAUCGCUAGAAUUGUGGAGAGGUGAGUGGAAUUCCGAGUGUAGAGGUGAAAUUUGUAGAUAUUCGGAGGAACACCAGUGGCGAAGGCGGCUCACUGGUCCGGUACUGACGCUGAGGUGCGAAAGCGUGGGGAGCAAACCGG